GCAUUCAGCCGAAGUCCACAACUUCGGUAGCAUUCGGGCGAAACGCCGCAGACGGGACCUCCGCAGGCCCAGCGCACCUCCCCGCGGAUAGAUGGUUCUUCUUCGUUCAGGCCGAGAUCCACUGCUCACUGCACCGAGCCGAGCGCAGGUUAGGCGGGCGCGCGAUCACCGAAGCCGACGCGGCGCCCGCACGCGCCAACGGCCGAACGCACUCUCUCUCUCUCUCUCUCUCUCUCUCUCUCUCCCCUCUCCGUUGUGCUCCCCGACCCAACCCUACGCGCUCCUGCCGCCCCCCCGCAGGCCGCAGCUACAUCUCUCCUCCCACCUCGCCAGUCGCCACCGCGCGGUGGGAGCUCGCUGAAGUGCUUCCCCCCGCUUUGCGGCAGCGUCAGCUCAGACCCCUUGCCCGCGCUCUCGUUGUCUGGCGGGCUCAGCUGGUUUGGUCAGCGUGGCGAGGUUGUCCUGGCCAGAUCCUGCUCCCGCCCGCGCACGACUGGGUGUGGGCGGUGGAUUGGCUGCGCGGGUCAUCAGAUCUAUGCCGGAGAUCUAGGGCGCCAGGUGCCGAGGUGGAGGCCGUGAGCCGGUGGCGAUCGGAGGGCCGAGGACAGGGAUGGCGUGGUGGUCCGGGAAGGUGUCGCUCGGCGGCCUGCAGGACAUCGCUGGAGCCGUCAACAAGAUCAGCGAGAGCGUGAAGAACAUCGAAAAGAACUUCGACAGCGCGCUCGGCCUAGAGGAGAAGCGUGACGAUGAAGAUGCAUCAGGAUCACAGACAUCCAACUCUGAUAGAAUAGGAUUCUUCAAUCCUGUCAUGGCUUUCAUGGGACACAAUGGUGAGGAGGAUGGCACUGAAGUAUCAGAAAAGCCACAAUCUCUGAAGAAUCUGUCAGCAGAGGAAGGAAUUAAUAGCACACCAACUAAGAAACAUAUAUCUGAGGUAGAUCCUUCGGAAGUAUCAGGAACAACAUCUCCAAAACUGCCUUCAAAAUCGGAAGAAGUUCAUAGUAUUUCCAAUGGGUCACCUGUUUCUAAGGCAGAUGUUUCUGAGCAAUCCAUAACACCACAAACUCCAACACAUCCUUCAGUAGCAGAAGAAAAGCUUGAUAGCUCUACUGAGGCACCUGCAUCUAAGGUGGGUGAUGCUGAAGCAUCAGAAACAUCACAAUCUGCAGGACAUCCUUCAACAGUGGAAGAAAACCAGCACCAUCAAGUUAGCAAACAUUCUGAUCCUAGUGAUGAAGCAGAGCCGAAUCAGCUUAGAGAGUCUGUUCGAGACUUACCUGAUGGUAGUGCAUCUUCUUCGCCUACUAAAAUACAUCAAUCAGGUGACACCGAAACAGGGGAAUCUAUUCACACAGGAAAGGAAGAUACGUCUGAUAGGAACAUCUUGCAGUCACAACCAGCAGAGUCUGCGCUAGCUAGUUCAGAUGAUAUAACGGAAGCUGAGGACAAUAUUGCUCAAGAAUAUGAUGCCCCAAAAGAACUUAGUGGCCCACAGGAGAGUAGUGAUAUGGUAGACAAAGGUACUCAUCUUGAAGUUAAAUUACAUGAUAGCAAUAUUAAUACUGAAAAAAGUGAGGAAGAAAGCAAUAAGAUGGAGUCAGGGGAAUCAUCUGUUGUUGUACAGGAGGAUAAUGCAAUGGAGCAACCUCAAGACUUAACGUUGAAGUCCUUAACUGCAGAGCAUGACUCAAAUUCGCAGAACGAGUCAGUGAUCAAUUCGACUGAUAUACCUGUUGGACUAGGUGAAGGUCCUCCAAAUGAUUUUACAAAAGAAGAAAAGAUUCUAGAAUCUGUUAGAGGCACAGAUUCUCAGACUCUGGACUCUGUUGUUUCUGUCGAUGAGCUAGAGAAAUUAAGACGUGAAUUGAAGAUGAUGGAAGCUGCAUUGCAAGGUGCUGCAAGACAGUCACAGUCCAAAGCUGAUGAAAUUGCAAGGUUGAUAAAUGAGAAUGAGCAACUAAAAUCAACAAUCGAUGAUCUCAAGAGUAAGUCAUCUGAAGCAGAAAUGGAUUCACUGAAGGAUGAAUAUCACCAAAGAGUAGCAACUCUUGAAAGGAAGGUAUAUGCACUAACCAAAGAGCGUGAUACACUAAGGAGAGAACAGAAUAAAAAAAGUGAUGCAGCUGCCCUUUUGAAAGAAAAGGAUGAGAUCAUCAAUCAGGUCAUGGCUGAAGGUGAAGAACUAUCCAAAAAACAAGCUGCUCAAGAAGCUACAAUACGAAAACUGAGAGCACAGAUUCGUGAGUUUGAAGAAGAAAAACAACGCCUGAACUCAAAGAUCCAGGUUGAGGAGGCUAAGGUUGAGAGCAUCAAGAGAGACAAAGCAGCAACUGAGAAGUUGCUUCAAGAAACAAUAGAAAGAAAUCAGACUGAACUUGCAGCUCAAAAGGAGUUCUACACCAAUGCUCUUAAUGCGGCUAAAGAGGCUGAGGCAUUGGCUGAAGCAAGAGUCAACAGUGAAGCCAAAAUUGAACUGGAGAAUCUUUUAGGAGAAGCUGGUGAAAAAGAAAAUAUGCUGAUUAAGACAAUCGAGGAGUUGAGGCAUUUUCUCACCCGGCAAGAACAGGAGGCUGCUUUCAGGGAAAAAAGACUAAAAGGGGACUAUGAUGAUCUUCAAAAGCGGUAUCAAGCCAGUGAACUUCGUUAUAAUGAACUGGUAACGCAAGUUCCUGAGUCUACCAGACCGCUUCUAAGACAAAUUGAAGCCAUGCAGGAGACAACUGCUCGAAGGGAAGAUGCUUGGGCUGGUGUGGAGAGAACCUUAAACUCUCGCCUUCAGGAAGCAGAAGCUAAAGCUGCUUCUUCAGAAGAAAAGGAGCGAUCUGUAAAUGAGAGAUUGUCACAAAGUUUAUCCCGGAUAACUGUCCUUGAGACCCAGAUUACAAUUCUUAGAACAGAGCAGACACAGCUGAGCCGAUCUCUUGAAAAGGAGAGGCAGAGAGCAUCUGAAAGUAGACAGGAGUACCUAGCAAUCAAAGAGGAGGCAGCAAUACAAGAAGGGCGAGCUAAACAGUUUGAAGAAGAGAUGAAGGAGCUUAGAGCUAGGCACAAGGAGGAGCUGCAAGAAGCAGCAGAACACAGGGACCUGCUUGAGAAGAAAAGGACCACAUCAUCAGCAUACAAGGAUAUUCUAUGAUGUAGGGGUCUAGAUGAAAGAGGUUGCAACAGUCCUUCAUCAGCCUCAGUAACUAGAAGCCCAAGAACAUCCAUUACUUGAAGGUUAUGCCAUAGGCAUUUUAUUAGGGCCAUUGUUUUUUCUUAGUCAAGAAAUCUGUUUUUGUGCCAUGAUCAUAUGGUUGCUACUGAAAUGGACCUUGAAAGGGAAAAGGCUGCCAGGGCAGAAAUUGAGAAAACAUCUUCCCGUGAAGCGCCUAAAGCUCCACUUCCCGAUCAAACAAGAAAUGCCCCUCUCAGAAAGCUGUCUAGUUCUGGCAGUAUAAAUAGUCUAGAAGAAAGCCAUUUUCUUCAAGCAUCGUUGGAUUUAUCUGACAAUGCUUCAUUAGAGAGGCGAAUGUCUUCAGAAAGUAAUAUGUCGUAUUAUCUGAAGACCAUGACUCCAAGUGCUUUUGAAUCAGCACUUCGUCAAAAAGAUGGAGAGCUGGCUUCUUACAUGUCACGCUUGGCCUCAUUGGAAUCUAUUCGGAAUUCACUAGCAGAGGAGUUGGUAAAACUGACAGAACAAUGUGAAAAGUUACGGACUGAAGCCACUGCUGUGCCUGGCUUAAGGGCUGAAUUGGAAGCUCUGAAACAAAGGCACUUUCAAGCUCUAGAACUCAUGGGGGAACGUGAUGAAGAGUUGGAGGAGCUAAGAAAUGAUAUUGUUGACUUAAAAGAGAUGUACAGAGAGCAGGUGGAUCUUCUUGUUAGCCAGCUCCAGUCAUUGGGUGCUCGUGUAUAGCGCUGCCUGCGCUGGUAUGAAUUUGUCAUACCAUCUAAUUCUCGUCCAGUGCAUCGCGGCCAGGCCAAGAUACCAGGUCCGUGACUUGAGCAUGUUUUGUUUCAAAUUUUGUAACACCAUACAACGGCACUGAAUGUUUUCGUUUGUAUACAUCGGAACACAGUUGUUGGGUUUAGGAGGAUACGUUGUUGUAUACUAGUAGGUUGAGUAGUUUCACAGCUUUACGUGUAUUCUUUGUGAUUUGUUUCCGUUGAAAUGUAUCAAAUUUGAAUCCAUUUGCAAGUGUACCUCAGAGGAAUGCAAUCAAUAAUAUCGAGAGCUCCUUUUGUCC
Molecule: RNA transcript, 4229 nt
Organism: Zea mays
Lineage: Eukaryota; Viridiplantae; Streptophyta; Magnoliopsida; Poales; Poaceae
Gene name: golgin candidate 5
Exons: 20
Source: RefSeq, a predicted model, not a curated record